GUUGUUCCUAUUCUUCACAUUUCUAACUCUCGCUUUUUCUCUUUCUGUUUCUUCUCUUCACAUUCCACAUCUUUCUCUCACUCAAAUUUCAUCUGAAUCUCUUCUAUGAACCUAAAUGCCUUUCCAUCACAACCGUUAAAUUGCGUCUGAGAAGGCAGAGGAGUUCAAGUGUAAAUCGGCGCUAGCUUAUGGUUCUGGAAAAAAAUGGUGUGCGAAUCAGUUUGUGUUGAAAAGGCACACGACGGAGACAGCAUCAAGCGAUUAUUAGAUCUAUUUGGAGAAAAAGAGUCGGAGAAGUUUGCAAAUAGAGGUAGUGGAGUUAGGGUAUGGAACGAUGAUGAAUACGGAAGGUUUGUUACGGUUAUGAGAUAGAUUUGUGGAUUUGGUUGAAGGAAAUACAUGGCUGGUUUUGUGAUGUGUUGCAUUUUUUAACCGUUUAUCCCAAAAGUUUUCUACCAAAUUUUGUUUUUCUUUGACUUUUGAUAUUGGAGUUAUAGUUCUGUUUAGAUAUGCAAGUCUCAACUUUUAGGAUCGAAGAAUCAAAGGGCGAUGUUGGUGAAAUCAGAAUUGCAUUAUAGUAAUGAGCAGUUGCCGCGGUUUGAGAUUUUAUUCUGUCAUCAUGGAAACCGAACUGAGUAAUAGCAAUACUAGAGGAAGAGGUUUUGGUACCAUUUUUGGUUUCACUAUUAAUCCUAGAUCACUCAAGUUUCAACCUUCUGGGUUUUGCCUUUAGUGAUUUAAUGAAUGGCUUUAUCUCUCUCCCCAUCAAGGCUCAUGGUUUUUCUUUCAACAAAGCACUUAAGGUUAUAAUCUAUCUCUUAUUCUUGAUUUUAAGUUAUUUUCAUGAUCAAUGAUAGGUUUAUUUUGUGCUCAACCUCAAAGACAAGAACUUAUACAAGAUUUGUACAAAACUUGGCACGAUCCUGUUCGUGGCAUGGUUAGUGGUGACAUGAUUCGGUAUAUAUAUAUAUACACACACGCGCGCGAUUUCAACUUUUAGUAAUACCAUUUUAAACUUCAUGUCCUAUUUUUGCAUAAAUUUGUUGGUUCCCUUUAGAAGGGCAACAAGACGGAAGCCGCAAAGGAUUUUAUUUUAUACGUCUGUAUCUUUAAUUUAUAUGUAUUUUAAAAAAUAAUAUCAUGAUAUAUCUAAAUGAUGAAAUCUAAAUGAACUACUAAUUGUACAGGGAUGGUGUAAGUGAAUCACAAUUUUACCAAGUUCUACUAACGAGCUGAUGUGAUUCAGAAGGUUUGAAGGAACCAAUAAAGAUGGGAACCUGUUUCUUUUUUUCAAUUUCUAUGGUAUGAAAUUUGAUAAAAGUUAGAUAUUUGAAGUCAUUUAGUUAUGAAUUUUAUUUUGUAGAUUACAAAUAAGAUAUCUUCAUUGUUAAUAAUUAAAUCAAGUGAAAUUGAAUGAAUUUAUAGUCUGUGAUAAUUGACAGUGGCUUCAUCACAAAUUGAGUCCAAUUGAAUCUGGCUGUUGUCGACCGCCUUAUGAGUAGGUUAUCCUUUAUUUUCAAAGAGUUUCUUUAUCUAUAAUAAUCGGUCAAUCAAUAUAGAUUGCAGAUUUUUAUUUAACCAAGCUUAGCGAUGUGCAAGUUCAACGGAUAACA
Molecule: long non-coding RNA, 1613 nt
Organism: Vicia villosa (hairy vetch)
Lineage: Eukaryota; Viridiplantae; Streptophyta; Magnoliopsida; Fabales; Fabaceae
Exons: 3
Source: RefSeq, a predicted model, not a curated record